AAGUCGUAACAAGGUAUCCGUAGGUGAACCUGCGGAUGGAUCAUUACCAAAGACCCAUUUCGAGUCUUGUGAACUGUUUUCCGUUGUGGUCAGUGUGUUUUUAUUCCGCGUUUUCGCGCGUUUAACUUGCACACUGGCUUCACCAACCAAACCAAACGUCUAAACCCUUUAACCAGAGUCACUUUAGCUUAAAACUAAAGACAACUUUUAGCAACGGAUCUCUUGGCUCUC
This 231-nucleotide unclassified non-coding RNA is filed under the name fungal sp. RNAcentral describes it as "partial internal transcribed spacer region". The stretch from base 1 to 46 matches the Rfam family "Eukaryotic small subunit ribosomal RNA", at positions 1786 to 1831 of the family's 1831-position model. The record is from RNAcentral. Lineage: Eukaryota; Fungi.